Molecule: long non-coding RNA, 389 nt
Organism: Gasterosteus aculeatus aculeatus (three-spined stickleback)
Lineage: Eukaryota; Metazoa; Chordata; Actinopteri; Perciformes; Gasterosteidae
Source: Ensembl
CUGCCCCGGCCACAGAGACUGAACUUUCGUAGACCACAGUUCACGAUAGAACUUUCACCCAGCUCGUCGUCAGUGGCUUCAGCAGAGGCAGCAGCAGCAGCAGAGACGGAGGCGGAGGAGGCUGCAGCAACAGCGCCAUCAUCAGCAGCGGCAUCACCGCCGACACCUCCACCGGCGGCAGCGACGCCCUCAAUAUCUGCCGUAUGGUCCGUCGCACCGCGCAAUCCGUGUGUGGCCCCGAACACGGACGAGGUGGAGUUCUCCCAGAGGAACCUGGAGGAGCUGGUGCAGCAGGAGGCGAGAGAGCCGUGGUCCCGGAUGCAGAGGGACGUGAGGCACGUUCCCUUAACGCCCAUCAGCACCACCAGGUUGAGGACAGCGGUGCAGAC